AUUUCCACAAGUCCUCCAUCUAGACCCACAACUACAACUAGACCCACAACUACAACAAGACCCACAACUACAACAAGACCCACAACUACAACAAGACCCACAACUACAACAAGACCCACAACUACAACAAGACCCACAACUAUUGCAACAAGACCCACAACUACAACAAGACCCACAACUAUUGCAACAAGACCCACCCAUGUACCCACAUUACCCGGAGUCUCCACCUCUACUCCUCCAGCACACACGUAGACUCACACACCAGAUUGGAAGAGCACUUUGAUAUCCUCAAAGAAUAAUUACACUAGUACAUCCUUAUGAAAAAGAAGUCGGGGUCUUUAAGUGGUUGCAUUCUGUAUCUCUAAGAAUGGAGCUUUGCAAAACACAGCAGAUGUGCGGUCAGGAGCUGAAGACAGUGUCUACAGAAUUGAAGACAGUCCUUAAACUGCUGAAUGAGUCCCAGUGGCCCUCUCCGGGCCUUCUGCCUGAGACUGGAAAGACAACCGGAUUGGACAGUGUGAACACCCUUUACAGCUCCAGGGAUAUUUUCUGUGUCAGUUCAUCCAGCAGUGGUGGAGAGGGUGACCCUCAGCUGUUUGUGCUCAAACUCACUAUUAACAUCAUCCUAAUCCUUAUAUCAAUACUGCCUCAGUUUCUCCAAUCACUGCAGUAUAUUCUUCUAUCAAACAUGAACUUUUUAGUAUUUUGUUGUUCCUCUAGUCAACACAGCAUCUGUAAUAAAGGAAAUAGA
Peromyscus maniculatus bairdii (prairie deer mouse) is the source of this 751-nucleotide non-coding RNA. The record is from RefSeq and is a predicted model, not a curated record. NCBI's taxonomy places the organism in Eukaryota, Metazoa, Chordata, Mammalia, Rodentia, Cricetidae.